AGGCAGCCCCAGAGUGGCCAUAGGUCUGAGAGCCCCACAGGGCCCCUCCUGGUUGAUUCCCCAAAUCCACUUCUCCAUCACCCUCACUGACCUUCUCCCACUGUGAGGCCUCCUGCCUUCCACAGGACCUGCCUGCUGUCUCACCUCUUCAUAGCUCACCUCUCUUCUCUACCCCAAGGCUGGCUUUGAGGGACCCUGGCUCCACAGUCCUUGCCACAGUAUGAACAAGGUCACUUCCUGCUGCAGAGUCCUCACUCCAGCUUUCUCACCAAUCCUCCCCCUACACAAGAAGAUCAUCUCUGGGUUCAGGUCACCCAUCCAACUCCACUGAUGGAUUUAGGCUCAUUUAAUCCAAACUCGACUCCAUUUCAGCCAGAACCAGGCACCUCUAGAAAGGUCACCCUAACUGCCACAUCCAGUUCCUGAUCUGCCAUCUGCUUCUUUUCCAUCACUUGUGGGGUAUUUCCCAGCCUACCACUAAUGUGAGCCCUCCUGAGUCAAAAGUUCCCCUCUUCCAGGCCUCCUGCUCAGCUGACGUCCUGGACCAGGCAGGCCACCCUUGUUCCACUUCCCCUGGGAAGACACCUGGGUCUUGUGCCUGCCCUGGAUUAGGGUGGGCAAAUUAGUUCAUCCAGGACUAGAAGAAUGGAAAUAAACAGACUUGUGUCUUGGGGCUGACUCUGAAA
Long non-coding RNA from Homo sapiens (human), 686 nucleotides. Ensembl annotates it as long intergenic non-protein coding RNA 2771. NCBI's taxonomy places the organism in Eukaryota, Metazoa, Chordata, Mammalia, Primates, Hominidae. The record is from Ensembl.